GGAGAACUGGCUAGUUUUUGCGGAUGGGGAGGCUAGAGCGCAUAUGAUCCAGACCAUCAAGGAUAUCAACGCACAGACUAUAGAAGAUCCUUCUCUGACAAAGAACGUGGGUGGACAGUCUGUCCAGGCCGGGGAAGUGAUUGGUAAGCCUUCUUCCCUUUGAUUUUCUCCUGUCUUUUCCUGUUGGAUUGGCUUUUAAUCUUUACCUGUUUGGUGCAGUCUCUUCUGUCAUUGCCGCCGGGGAUUUGGAGCUCCCUUCCGCUGAUGAGGAGGAUGAUAUUGGGGCAGAACAGACCCCUGUCGAGGCUGUUCCUUCUGGUAGAAAGAAGCGGAAAGGGGCUGGUAUUUCUGCUGGGAGUCCUUCUCCUCCUCCUACUAAGCUAAAAAAGCUUAAGAAGAAGGGUGAAGUGGAGUACUUUGCCGCAGAAGAGGCCGCA
This is a long non-coding RNA of Prunus dulcis (almond), 437 nucleotides long. RefSeq lists it as uncharacterized. The record is from RefSeq and is a predicted model, not a curated record. The transcript has 3 exons. NCBI's taxonomy places the organism in Eukaryota, Viridiplantae, Streptophyta, Magnoliopsida, Rosales, Rosaceae.